This is a long non-coding RNA of Micropterus salmoides (largemouth bass), 754 nucleotides long. RefSeq lists it as uncharacterized. The transcript has 2 exons. The record is from RefSeq and is a predicted model, not a curated record. NCBI's taxonomy places the organism in Eukaryota, Metazoa, Chordata, Actinopteri, Centrarchiformes, Centrarchidae.
ACUCCAGUGUAGGCGGUCAGAGUUUGUCAACCCUGAGUUUUCCUGAUAACCCUGAGUUAACUCUGAGUAGGUUGAACUCCCUUCGUAGUACAGGCCUCAUGUUUUUUUCUGUUACUGAGACAUGCUUUAAGAAAAACCAAAAACAGUGUGAAUAUACCAAAAUAAAAGCAAAGAGUGUAGAAUAGCCAAUAUGCAAGCACUAGCCUAUACCAGGGAAACGUGGGAACAGAAUUAAAAUAGAUAAACCUGGACCGAUGGAAGUAUGUUAGCGCAUUGUUUGGUGCAAUAGUAUUCGUAAUAUAGCUAAACCUAAGUUAUUAUUGUAUAUGCAAAGAUAUUACUGUUAGCACUGACGUUUAAUUUGGUUUCCACCAUGAUGCUCUGUUGCUUGAGUGAACGCAGAAUCCACAUCACGCUGUUUCAUCUCUUUACCAGUAGAUGGUAGUAUGAGUGUAUUUAAAUCUUUUCACACAGUUUUUAAUUCUUGUUUUUUUUAUCCAGUCUAUGAUUUAAACUAAGCCUAUGGCUGGUUUGUAUUUUUGUAAAGUAGUAAACUAGUUAUUAAUAAAGAUGUAUUUAUUGCGGUUCAUUUCGUUUGAUAUUUAGUUUAUGGUUUAUUUGCAACCUAUGUAGCUACAACAUAGGCUAUAUUUAUUUACAUGCAUAUUUUAUAUCAUUUCAGAACCAGACCUAUAUGGAAAAAUGAGCAUAUGUUGAUCAUGUGGGAAUAAAUAAAGGACAACUGAAAAGUAGA